AUUGAACGCUGGCGGCAUGCCUUACACAUGCAAGUCGAACGGCAGCAUGGGUGCUUGCACCUGAUGGCGAGUGGCGAACGGGUGAGUAAUGCAUCGGAACGUACCCGGAAGUGGGGGAUAACGUAGCGAAAGUUACGCUAAUACCGCAUAUUCUGUGAGCAGGAAAGCGGGGGAUCGCAAGACCUCGCGCUUCCGGAGCGGCCGAUGUCGGAUUAGCUAGUUGGCGGGGUAAAGGCCCACCAAGGCAACGAUCCGUAGCGGGUCUGAGAGGAUGAUCCGCCACACUGGGACUGAGACACGGUCCAGACUCCUACGGGGGGCAGCAGUGGGGAAUCUUCCACAAUGGGCGAAAGCCUGAUGGAGCGACGCCGCGUGAGCGAAGAAGGCCUCGGUUGUAAAGCUCUGUCUGGAGGGACGGAAGGAAAGUAGACGGUACCUCCGGACGGAAGCCACGGCUAACUACGUAGCCAGCAGCCGCGGUAACUAGUGUGUGUA
This 495-nucleotide ribosomal RNA is filed under the name uncultured bacterium. RNAcentral describes it as "bacterial SSU rRNA". It matches the Rfam family "Bacterial small subunit ribosomal RNA", at positions 29 to 533 of the family's 1533-position model. The record is from RNAcentral.